Molecule: unclassified non-coding RNA, 205 nt
Filed under: uncultured soil eukaryote
Lineage: Eukaryota
Description: sequence contains 5.8S rRNA gene, ITS2, 28S rRNA gene
Source: RNAcentral
AACGCAGGCCGCACCUAGCAAUAUCACUCCGUGUUAUUGCUGGGCAUCUACGUAUGAGUGUCAGCCCAAUAUCAUUGUGGUUCAUGAGAAAUUGAUUUUUUCAAUUGUUUCAAUCUUAUGAAUACAGCUGUUGUUACAAUAUCAUUAAAAGGAUAUUCAAAACACUGUCUGGCCUCAUAUGUGGAAGGUUACCCGCUGGAUUUAA